GGCUCUUGUAGGAGCUUGGAUGAAAUUCGGAAGGCAGUCGACCACUGUAGAAACUUGGAUGGAGUCUGGUUACUGUAGAAGUCCUGCUGCUGGAGAAGCUCAGUCAUUGAUGAAGUCCGAAAGAAGUUCGGAGUAAAGUCGAUCAUGGCUGGAAGAAGUCUGAAAGAGAUUCGGAGAGUAGUCGAUCACUGUAGAAAAUCGACUGAUAGUGAAGCUCAGAGAGCAUUUGGAGCAGUCCGGUAGAUGAAUGGAGGAGCUCAUUUUUGGAGAAGUCCGGAUGGCAUGAUAGGAGUUCGUCCGUUGGAGGAAUUUGGAGGACACUGUGGAAGGUCGACUGCUGGGAGAGUCCAGAUGGUAUUAUGGAAGCUCGGAUAGCUGGGGGAGUUCAGAAAGACACCGCACA
RNAcentral lists this long non-coding RNA (403 nucleotides) under Elaeis guineensis (African oil palm). Its description in RNAcentral is "long non-coding RNA (EGUI_LNC079830)". Lineage: Eukaryota; Viridiplantae; Streptophyta; Magnoliopsida; Arecales; Arecaceae. The record is from RNAcentral.